Molecule: long non-coding RNA, 258 nt
Filed under: Gossypium barbadense (sea-island cotton)
Lineage: Eukaryota; Viridiplantae; Streptophyta; Magnoliopsida; Malvales; Malvaceae
Description: long non-coding RNA (GBAR_LNC001288)
Source: RNAcentral
AAAUUUUUCCAAGGUGCAGGGAUCACACGCCCGUGUGGUCCAAGGGACACACCCGUGUGACCCUGGGACACGCUCGUGUUACAGGCCGUGUUCGACCCCAUGUAACUAUUUGACUUGUGUACACAGCCAAGCCACACGCUCGUGUGCUAGGCCGUGUAGCACACGUGGCUGAGACGAAUGCCUGUGUCUCUCCCUGUGUGCUUAAUUUUGAGCAUUCUUUUUUCUCGAAUUUAAGGUGCAUGGGACACAUGACCUAAC